CCUACGGGCGGCAGCAGUGAGGAAUCUUGGUCAAUGGCCGGAAGGCUGAACCAGCCAAGCCGCGUGAAGGACGAAGGUGCCAAGCAUUGUAAACUUCUUUUGUCAAGGGACAAAAUCAGGCUCGAGAGCCUGACCGAGGGUCCUUGAAGAAAAAGCAUCGGCUAACUCCGUGCCAGCAGCCGCGGUAAUACGGAGGAUGCGAGCGUUAUCCGGAUUUAUUGGGUUUAAAGGGUGCGUAGGCGGGCUGUCAAGUCAAGGGUGAAAUCCCCGCGCUCAACCUCGCUCCGCCGGUGAACCUGGCGUUCUUGAGUGGGCGAGAAGUAUGCGGAAUGCGUGGUGUAGCGGUGAAAUGCAUAGAUAUCACGAAGAACUCCGAUUGCGAAGGCAGCAUACCGGCGCCCAACUGACGCUGAAGCACGAAAGCGUGGGUAUCGAACAGGAUUAGAUACCCUGGUAGUC
Molecule: ribosomal RNA, 459 nt
Filed under: uncultured bacterium
Lineage: Bacteria
Description: partial 16S ribosomal RNA
Rfam family: Bacterial small subunit ribosomal RNA
Source: RNAcentral